GUACUGCUGAGGAGUCUGACAAGACGAAACGGCCGUCCAGUGC
RNAcentral lists this non-coding RNA (43 nucleotides) under Schistosoma mattheei. The record is from RNAcentral. Lineage: Eukaryota; Metazoa; Platyhelminthes; Trematoda; Strigeidida; Schistosomatidae.